GGGUGAUUAGCUUCAGCUGGGAGAGCACCCUCCCUUACAAGCGAGGGGGUCGGCGGUUCGAUCCCGUCAUCACCCACCA
This 79-nucleotide transfer RNA is filed under the name Salmonella enterica subsp. enterica. RNAcentral's name for it is "tRNA-Val". It matches the Rfam family "tRNA". From Rfam's summary of the family: Transfer RNA (tRNA) molecules are approximately 80 nucleotides in length. Their secondary structure includes four short double-helical elements and three loops (D, anti-codon, and T loops). The record is from RNAcentral. Lineage: Bacteria; Pseudomonadati; Pseudomonadota; Gammaproteobacteria; Enterobacterales; Enterobacteriaceae.